AGUUAUCUGAUCCUCUUUUAGAGGUGACGAUAAUGGAAUGAGCGGCGGACGGGUGAGUAACACGUAGGCAACCUGCCUGUAAGACUGGGAUAACUCGUGGAAACGCGAGCUAAUACCGGAUAACACUUUUCAUCUCCUGAUGAGAAGUUGAAAGGCGGCUUUUGCUGUCACUUACAGAUGGGCCUGCGGCGCAUUAGCUAGUUGGUAAGGUAAUGGCUUACCAAGGCGACGAUGCGUAGCCGACCUGAGAGGGUGAUCGGCCACACUGGGACUGAGACACGGCCCAGACUCCUACGGGAGGCAGCAGUAGGGAAUCUUCCGCAAUGGACGAAAGUCUGACGGAGCAACGCCGCGUGAGUGAUGAAGGUUUUCGGAUCGUAAAACUCUGUUGUUAGGGAAGAACAAGUGCCAUAGUAACUGAUGGCACCUUGACGGUACCUAACCAGAAAGCCACGGCUAACUACGUGCCAGCAGCCGCGGUAAUACGUAGGUGGCAAGCGUUGUCCGGAAUUAUUGGGCGUAAAGCGCUCGCAGGCGGUUCUUUAAGUCUGAUGUGAAAUCUUACGGCUCAACCGUAAACGUGCAUUGGAAACUGGGGAACUUGAGUGCAGAAGAGGAGAGUGGAAUUCCACGUGUAGCGGUGAAAUGCGUAGAGAUGUGGAGGAACACCAGUGGCGAAGGCGACUCUCUGGUCUGUAACUGACGCUGAGGAGCGAAAGCGUGGGGAGCGAACAGGAUUAGAUACCCUGGUAGUCCACGCCGUAAACGAUGAGUGCUAGGUGUUAGGGGGUUUCCGCCCC
Molecule: ribosomal RNA, 800 nt
Filed under: Oceanobacillus kimchii
Lineage: Bacteria; Bacillati; Bacillota; Bacilli; Caryophanales; Bacillaceae
Description: bacterial SSU rRNA
Rfam family: Bacterial small subunit ribosomal RNA
Source: RNAcentral